AUACGUAGGGGGCAAGCGUUAUCCGGAUUUACUGGGUGUAAAGGGAGCGUAGACGGCAUGGCAAGUCUGAAGUGAAAACCCAGGGCUCAACCCUGGGACUGCUUUGGAAACUGUCAAGCUAGAGUGCAGGAGAGGUAAGUGGAAUUCCUAGUGUAGCGGUGAAAUGCGUAGAUAUUAGGAGGAACACCAGUGGCGAAGGCGGCUUACUGGACUGUAACUGACGUUGAGGCUCGAAAGCGUGGGGAGCAAACAGGAUUAGAUACCCUGGUAGUCCACGCCGUAAACGAUGAGUGCUAGGUGUUGGGGGGCAAAGCCCUUCGGUGCCGUCGCAAACGCAAUAAGCACUCCACCUGGGGAGUACGUUCGCAAGAAUGAA
RNAcentral lists this ribosomal RNA (376 nucleotides) under uncultured Lachnoclostridium sp. RNAcentral's name for it is "bacterial SSU rRNA". It matches the Rfam family "Bacterial small subunit ribosomal RNA", at positions 523 to 898 of the family's 1533-position model. Lineage: Bacteria; Bacillati; Bacillota; Clostridia; Lachnospirales; Lachnospiraceae. The record is from RNAcentral.